CGCAGUAGUCAUAUGCUUGUCUCAAAGCUUAAGCCAUGCAAGUCUCAGUACAGACUAUAUUAAAGUGAAACCGCAAAAGGCUCAGUAAACCAGUUUUAAUUUACUAGAGUUAACUUGACUGUGCUUGGAUAACUGUGGUAAUUCUAGAGCUAAUACAUGCAACAAAGCCGUGACCAUUCGUGGUCAGGGCGCUUUUAUUAGACCAAGACCAAUCGCCCGGCCAGUCCGGGCGUUAAGUUGAGGAACCUAGAUAACACAGCAGAUCGCAUGGUCUUAGUACCGGCGACCUAUCUUUCAAAUGCCUGACUUAUCAACUGACGAUGGUAGACUCUGUGUCUACCAUGGCUGUUACGGGUAACGGGGAAUCAGGGUUCGAUUCCGGAGAGGGAGCCUGAGAAACGGCUACCACAUCCAAGGAAGGCAGCAGGCACGCAAAUUACCCACUCCCGGAACGGGGAGGUAGUGACAAAAAAUAACGAUACGGGACUCGAUAUGAGGCCUCGUAAUCGGAAUGAGUACACUCUAAAUCCUUUAACAAAAAUCUAUUGGAGGGCAAGUCUGGUGCCAGCAGCCGCGGUAAUUCCAGCUCCAAUAGCGUAUAUUAAAGUUGUUGCGGUUAAAAAGCUCGUAGUUGGUUCUGCGUCCCGCGCUGUCGGUACACCGUUUGUCGGUGACACUGGCAUGACGCGGGAUGUCCUGUCGGUGGCGGCGGAGACCAUAUCGCCGUCGGCUAACACCGCGGCGUGUUGGCCUUCUGUCGCCGGCUUUAUCCUACCGCGGUGCUCUUCACUGAGUGUCGAGGUAGGCCGACACGUUUACUUUGAACAAAUUAGAGUGCUUAAAGCAGGCAAAAAUCUCUGCCAGAAUAGUGGUGCAUGGAAUAAUGGAACAGGACCUUGGUUCUAUUCUGUUGGUCUCCGGAACACAAGGUAAUGAUCAAUGUGGACAGGCGGGGGCAUUCGUAUUGCGGCGUUAGAGGUGAAAUUCUUGGAUCGUCGCAAGACGCACUAGAGCGAAAGCAAUUGCCAAGUAUGUCUUAAUUGAUCAAGAACGAAAGUUAGAGGUUCGAAGGCGAUCA
This 1078-nucleotide ribosomal RNA is filed under the name Cimex sp. RNAcentral's name for it is "SSU rRNA". It matches the Rfam family "Eukaryotic small subunit ribosomal RNA", at positions 16 to 1010 of the family's 1831-position model. Lineage: Eukaryota; Metazoa; Arthropoda; Insecta; Hemiptera; Cimicidae. The record is from RNAcentral.